CAAUAGCGUAUAUUAAAGUUGUUGCAGUUAAAAAGCUCGUAGUUGGAUUUCGGGGCAGCCUGGCUGGUCCGCCGCAAGGCGAGUACUGGUCAGCCGCCCUUCCUCUCGAAAGCCCCGACUGCUCUUCGUUGCAGUGGUCGGGUAGUUCGGGACGUUUACUUUGAAAAAAUUAGAGUGUUCAAGGCAGGCCUACGCCUGAAUACAUUAGCAUGGAAUAAUGGAAGAGGACCUCGGUCCUAUUUUGUUGGUUUCCAGGGCCGAAGUAAUGAUUAAGAGGGACAGUUGGGGGCAUUCGUAUUUAAUUGUCAGAGGUGAAAUUCUCGGAUUUAUGAAAGACGAACAACUGCGAAAGCAUUUGCCAAGGAUGCUUUCAUUAA
Molecule: ribosomal RNA, 377 nt
Filed under: uncultured eukaryote
Lineage: Eukaryota
Description: partial 18S ribosomal RNA
Rfam family: Eukaryotic small subunit ribosomal RNA
Source: RNAcentral